This 396-nucleotide long non-coding RNA is filed under the name Salmo salar (Atlantic salmon). RNAcentral describes it as "lncRNA (ENSSSAG00000094548.1)". Lineage: Eukaryota; Metazoa; Chordata; Actinopteri; Salmoniformes; Salmonidae. The record is from RNAcentral.
CGGGUGUGGUGUCCUGUGGUGUACAGAUCAGCCAUGGAGAGUAGAGCAGGCUGUGGUGUACAGAUCAGCCAUGGAGAGUAGAGCAGGCUGUGGUGUACAGUAGCAUACCUGUGUUCAAAUACUAUUCGGUAUCUUUCAAAAUACUCUUAGUAUUGGCUUUAGCAUGCAUGGGGCGGUAGAAUGGGCAGGAUUUGCACAUUUGAGAUUAUUCUAUUGGUUCCAUUGUUCCAGGCUUUUAUUAGUUGAACUCAGGCUGUCUGGUUGUAGGGUUAUGGGCUGUAGGGUUAUGGGCUGUAGGGUUAUGGGCUGUAGGCUGUCUGGCUGUAGGGUUAUGGGCUGUAGGCUAUCUGGCUGUAGGGUUAUGGGCCGUGACAUUGUCUGGCUGUAGGGUUAUGG